UACGUAGGUGGCAAGCGUUGUCCGGAUUUACUGGGUGUAAAGGGCGUGCAGCCGGGCUGACAAGUCAGAUGUGAAAUCCCGCGGCUCAACCGCGGAACUGCAUUUGAAACUGUCAGUCUUGAGUACCGGAGAGGUCAUCGGAAUUCCUUGUGUAGCGGUGAAAUGCGUAGAUAUUAGGAGGAACACCAGUGGCGAAGGCGGCCUGCUGGACAGUAACUGACGUUGAGGCUCGAAAGCGUGGGGAGCAAACAGG
Molecule: ribosomal RNA, 253 nt
Filed under: uncultured bacterium
Lineage: Bacteria
Description: partial 16S ribosomal RNA
Rfam family: Bacterial small subunit ribosomal RNA
Source: RNAcentral